Molecule: long non-coding RNA, 1377 nt
Organism: Homo sapiens (human)
Lineage: Eukaryota; Metazoa; Chordata; Mammalia; Primates; Hominidae
Product: long intergenic non-protein coding RNA 707
Source: Ensembl
GCAGGCAGAGGAACGUGGAAGGACUAGACUGCCUGAGUCUUCUGACCUUCAUCUUUCCCCUGUGUUGGAUGCCUCCUGCCCUCAAACAUCAGACUCCAGGUUCUUCAGCUUUUGGACUCUUGGACCUACCCCCCGAGUGGUUUGCCAGGGGCUCUCAGGCCUUCGGCUACAGACUGAGGGCUGCAUUAUCAGCUUUCCUACUUUUGAGGUUUUGGGACUUUACUGGCUUUCUUGCUCCUCAACUUGCAGAUGGCCUGUUGUGGGACCUCACCUUGUGAUCAUGUACAUGAGGGAAAUACACACCCCUCCCAGGGAUGAUGGAAGGUUAAGGUCCUAACACCUCCUGCACAUCUGAGCAGCUGCACAUUGAACCAGAUAGUCCUGGAAUGUGGGAAAACAGAGGCAGACUCAAGAGUCUGGAACAUUAUUUUAGGAUCACACAAAAAAGAUACAUAAUUUUCAUAGGUGGAGACCCUAGAAAACCUCCAGAGUUUGCUUUGAUCCUCAUACUCCACCUCCCAAGGAGGAAUAAAUUUGGAAGUGUAUAAUAAAUCAAAGAUAAAUUUGGAAGCACAUAUGAAAAAGCUUUUAUGGGACUUCUGCUUUUGAGUAAGAUGGAGAUAUUGGUGACAGACUAAUCCUGAAAAUCAGAACAACUAGAUGAAACAGAUAAAAUCCAAAAAUUAUCUGUUUUAAAGGUACCAAGGAGCUGUUGAAGCAAUGUAGGUAGAGAGGCUGAAAGACAGCAAAGGGGAGAAUCUGCACCAGCCUUUUAUCCUGGGGCACUGUGGGUUCACUGUGAGUUCUGGGUGAGAACGAGAAGCUUGGCAUCUAAACUCUACCCAAACCCCUUCUCAGCGGGCAGGAUGCAGAGGUUUCAGCAGAGCUCAGGGAAGGUAGCCAGGAUGUGCAACACAAUAGGGCCUUCAACACAGGACCAGCUUCCCCCUCAAGACAUUUGCUGAAUUCUGAAGCUGCAAGGGAAGGACAUAGGAAAGCUAAGCUGAGUACAUCAGAAGAGCUGGGUCGAGUUUUCUGCAGUGUGACGAUGCCUUGGAGACCCAGGUUAGAGUUCAGUUCCCAGGAGAGGCAGUGUUCCUGGGAUGCACCAGCCUCAGUCAAAGCCCUGGAAGUUCAUGUUGCCGGAAGAGGAUCAGCCCAGAGGAGGCUUACCCAAACUGCAAAUUAAAGGCAAAAUAGUGAAAGCUUUCCCUCAAGUGGUGGAAAGAAAUAAGGGUGCCUACUGUUUACCACUUCUAACCUACAUGGUCCUGGAAGUCCAGGCCAGGGCAAUAAUGCAAGCCAACGUAUAAAGGGCAGAAUCAUUGGAAAGGAAGAAAAAACUUACUAGACACAGAUGAACUGUCUCUAUAUGAA